CCACCGGGUUUUAUUCUGCUCAUCACCUUUCUCCGUUGUACUUCUCUAUUUUCUCCAACAGUUCUCAGUUUCUCUCCUGGAAAUAUUAAUACUUCUGAUUGAGCUGCCACACUUCUAACAAAAUUCGUAUGAUCGCUAAAAUUGCAAAAGUGCAUGGGAUAGGUUUCCAAAGAAAAUCUUUAUUUUGUUUUCCCAACUUUGGGUAUCGAGGCAUCGAAAGGUAAAACUUUGGGUAUCGAGGCAACGGAAGGCAAGCACCGCAGUAGGAUACGAUUCUUCUCAAACGGCUAUGGGUGUCUUUGUUUGUGCCUGAGAUAGCGAAAUGUAUCGUGGGAAGCAAUUGUAUGAAAAUGAGGAACGCUAUGCUGCCUUAACUCAUAUGGUAUAGAAAGAACUUUGCAUAAUUUACUGCUGCGGUGACGCAGUUUCUAUUGUUGUACUAUUUGUUAGGUGGUCUGAUUAAUGUCCUUGGAGGCAGUUCCUCUUAUUGUGCUAUUUGUUAGGUGGCCUUUUU
Nicotiana attenuata is the source of this 514-nucleotide long non-coding RNA. RefSeq lists it as uncharacterized. NCBI's taxonomy places the organism in Eukaryota, Viridiplantae, Streptophyta, Magnoliopsida, Solanales, Solanaceae. The transcript has 3 exons. The record is from RefSeq and is a predicted model, not a curated record.